UGGGGAAUAUUGCACAAUGGGCGCAAGCCUGAUGCAGCCAUGCCGCGUGUAUGAAGAAGGCCUUCGGGUUGUAAAGUACUUUCAGCGGGGAGGAAGGGAGUAAAGUUAAUACCUUUGCUCAUUGACGUUACCCGCAGAAGAAGCACCGGCUAACUCCGUGCCAGCAGCCGCGGUAAUACGGAGGGUGCAAGCGUUAAUCGGAAUUACUGGGCGUAAAGCGCACGCAGGCGGUUUGUUAAGUCAGAUGUGAAAUCCCCGGGCUUAACCCGGGAAUUGCAUCUGAUACUGGUCAGCUAGAGUCUUGUAGAGGGGGGUAGAAUUCCAUGUGUAGCGGUGAAAUGCGUAGAGAUGUGGAGGAAUACCGGUGGCGAAGGCGGCCCCCUGGACAAAAACUGACGCUCAGGUGCGAAAGCGUGGGGAGCAAACAGG
RNAcentral lists this ribosomal RNA (429 nucleotides) under Chloroflexota bacterium. Its description in RNAcentral is "Chloroflexi bacterium partial 16S ribosomal RNA". It matches the Rfam family "Bacterial small subunit ribosomal RNA", at positions 355 to 776 of the family's 1533-position model. Lineage: Bacteria; Bacillati; Chloroflexota. The record is from RNAcentral.